GACUCUUUAGUGCAGUAGGCAGCAUGUCAGUCUUGAAAGCUGAAGGUCCCUAGGAGGGUGUGGUAUACUAGGAGAGGCUUCUGGAUACAAGAAGAGUCA
RNAcentral lists this transfer RNA (99 nucleotides) under Monodelphis domestica (gray short-tailed opossum). It matches the Rfam family "tRNA". From Rfam's summary of the family: Transfer RNA (tRNA) molecules are approximately 80 nucleotides in length. Their secondary structure includes four short double-helical elements and three loops (D, anti-codon, and T loops). Further hydrogen bonds mediate the characteristic L-shaped molecular structure. tRNAs have two regions of fundamental functional importance: the anti-codon, which is responsible for specific mRNA codon recognition, and the 3' end, to which the tRNAs corresponding amino acid is attached (by aminoacyl-tRNA synthetases). tRNAs cope with the degeneracy of the genetic code in two manners: having more than one tRNA (with a specific anti-codon) for a particular amino acid; and 'wobble' base-pairing, i.e. permitting non-standard base-pairing at the 3rd anti-codon position. Lineage: Eukaryota; Metazoa; Chordata; Mammalia; Didelphimorphia; Didelphidae. The record is from Rfam by way of RNAcentral.